GACGAACGCUGGCGGCGUGCUUAACACAUGCAAGUCGAACGGAAAGGCCCUGCUUGCAGGGUACUCGAGUGGCGAACGGGUGAGUAACACGUGGGUGAUCUGCCCUGCACUUCGGGAUAAGCCUGGGAAACUGGGUCUAAUACCGGAUAGGAGCCAUUUUUAGUGUGAUGGUUGGAAAGUUUUUUCGGUGUAGGAUGAGCUCGCGGCCUAUCAGCUUGUUGGUGGGGUAAUGGCCUACCAAGGCGGCGACGGGUAGCCGGCCUGAGAGGGUGGACGGCCACAUUGGGACUGAGAUACGGCCCAGACUCCUACGGGAGGCAUCAGCGGGGAAUAUUGCACAAUGGGCGCAAGCCUGAUGCAGCGACGCCGCGUGGGGGAUGACGGCCUUCGGGUUGUAAACUCCUUUCGCUAGGGACGAAGCUUUUUGUGACGGUACCUAGAUAAGAAGCACCGGCUAACUACGUG
Molecule: ribosomal RNA, 465 nt
Filed under: uncultured bacterium
Lineage: Bacteria
Description: partial 16S ribosomal RNA
Rfam family: Bacterial small subunit ribosomal RNA
Source: RNAcentral